GACGAACGCUGGCGGCGUGCUUAACACAUGCAAGUCGAACGGAAAGGCCCUGCUCUUGUGGGGUGCUCGAGUGGCGAACGGGUGAGUAACACGUGAGUAACCUGUCCCUGACUUUGGGAUAACUUCAGGAAACUGGGGCUAAUACCGGAUAUGGGCUUCUGCUGCAUGGUGGGGGUUGGAAAGUUUCGGCGGUUGGGGAUGGACUCGCGGCUUAUCAGCUUCUUGGUGAGGUAGUGGCUUACCAAGGCUAUGACGGGUAGCCGGCCUGGGAGGGUGGCCGGCCACAUUGGGACUGAGAUACGGACCAGACUCCUACGGGAGGCAGCAGUGGGGAAUAUUGCACAAUGGGCGGAAGCCUGAUGCAGCAACGCCGCGUGCGGGAUGACGGCCUUCGGGUUGUAAACCGCUUUCGCAUGUGACGAAGCGUGAGUGACGGUAAUGGGUAAAGAAGCACCGGCUAACUACGUG
RNAcentral lists this ribosomal RNA (468 nucleotides) under uncultured bacterium. RNAcentral describes it as "partial 16S ribosomal RNA". It matches the Rfam family "Bacterial small subunit ribosomal RNA", at positions 28 to 507 of the family's 1533-position model. The record is from RNAcentral.